This 775-nucleotide ribosomal RNA is filed under the name uncultured Neocallimastigales. RNAcentral's name for it is "partial large subunit ribosomal RNA". It matches the Rfam family "Eukaryotic large subunit ribosomal RNA", at positions 24 to 645 of the family's 3401-position model. The record is from RNAcentral. Lineage: Eukaryota; Fungi; Neocallimastigomycota; Neocallimastigomycetes; Neocallimastigales.
UAUGUGAUCGUCUCUCGCAUAUCAAUAAGCGGAGGAAAAGAAACUAACAAGGAUUCCCCUAGUAACGGCGAGUGAAGCGGGAAGAGCUCAAAUUUGAAAUCUUAAAGGGUUUCCCUUUACGAAUUGUAGUUUAAAGAAGUGUUUUCUGUUGAGGUUUUGGUAAAAGUUCUUUGGAAUAGGACAUCAUAGAGGGUGGGAAUCCCGUAUUUGACCUUUACUUCCAACUUUGUGAUACACUUUCAAAGAGUCGGAUUGUUUGGGAAUGCAGUCCAAAAUGGGUGGUAAAUUUCAUCUGAAGCUAAAUAUUGGCGAGAGACCGAUAGCGAACAAGUACCGUGAGGGAAAGAUGAAAAGAACUUUGAAAAGAGAGUUAAACAGUACGUGAAAUUGUCAAAAGGGAAGCGUUUGACACCAGUGUUGUUUUUCUGAAAAUCAAUUAAAGAACUGUUUAUGCUAAGCUGUUUAGACUUUAUCAGCUAUCUGUUUAGUUUUGAGCUUUUCUUUAAUGCACUUUUCAGUUAACAAGUCAACAUCAAUUUCUUUUGCUGUAAAAAAGCUUGAGGAAGGUGGCUUGAGAUUCGUCUUAAGUGUUUAUAGCCUCUUGCCUAUGCAGUCGGAGAGAUUGAGGUCUGCAGCGUAGAUCCUUCGGGGCUAAAUGCAUUUGUGCUAAGUUAUAGCAUUUUAUAGACAACUUGUUGACUAUGAUUUGUCUUGUAGCUUACUCGCUUAUGUUAUUUUACCUACGCUUAGGAUGUUGAUCCUCUCACAGUCGAGC